UGAAUAUUUAAAACCUGGAUUAUUAGUAGUUAAGUUCUUGAAAAUUAAUAAAGAUGGCGGUAUUUUAGUCUAUUCAGAGGAAUCUGCCCUAUAAUUGAUGCACCACGAUUCAAAUUACUUAGAGUUUUAGCUUACAUAUCGCUGUAGGUUGAAUAUUUUUACUGGAUUAAGAAUGUUCAUGAGUUUGAGAGAAAGGAUAUCAAGUCAAGAUGUAGCUUAUGUCUAAGAAGAGGUGGAUUACAAUGCUUUUAUUUGUGGUUAGUAAUUUGAAAUGAUUAUUAUAAAAUGGAUUUGAUAGUAAUUUUUUAUUAAGAUUUGAAAAAUGAUUUUAGCUCUAAAUA
RNAcentral lists this ribosomal RNA (341 nucleotides) under Coccotrypes cardamomi. RNAcentral's name for it is "partial 12S ribosomal RNA". The record is from RNAcentral. Lineage: Eukaryota; Metazoa; Arthropoda; Insecta; Coleoptera; Curculionidae.